AUUGAACGCUGGCGGCAUGCCUUACACAUGCAAGUCGAACGGCAGCACGGGAGCAAUCCUGGUGGCGAGUGGCGAACGGGUGAGUAAUAUAUCGGAACGUGCCCGGUCGUGGGGAUAACGUAGCGAAAGCUACGCUAAUACCGCAUACGAUCUACGGAUGAAAGCGGGGGAUCGCAAGACCUCGCGCGAUUGGAGCGGCCGAUAUCAGAUUAGGUAGUUGGUGAGGUAAAGGCUCACCAAGCCGACGAUCUGUAGCUGGUCUGAGAGGACGACCAGCCACACUGGGACUGAGACACGGCCCAGACUCCUACGGGAGGCAGCAGUGGGGAAUUUUGGACAAUGGGCGCAAGCCUGAUCCAGCAAUGCCGCGUGCAGGAUGGAGGCC
RNAcentral lists this ribosomal RNA (385 nucleotides) under uncultured bacterium. Its description in RNAcentral is "bacterial SSU rRNA". It matches the Rfam family "Bacterial small subunit ribosomal RNA", at positions 29 to 416 of the family's 1533-position model. The record is from RNAcentral.